UUACUUUUGCAGCACAUACACAAAAAUUGGAAUCCUACAGAGAAGAUUAGCAUGGCCGUUGUGCAAGAAGGACAUGCAAAUUCAUAAGGCGUUCCAUAUUUUU
Nannospalax galili (Upper Galilee mountains blind mole rat) is the source of this 103-nucleotide small nuclear RNA. The record is from Ensembl. NCBI's taxonomy places the organism in Eukaryota, Metazoa, Chordata, Mammalia, Rodentia, Spalacidae.